RNAcentral lists this ribosomal RNA (253 nucleotides) under uncultured bacterium. Its description in RNAcentral is "partial 16S ribosomal RNA". It matches the Rfam family "Bacterial small subunit ribosomal RNA", at positions 524 to 776 of the family's 1533-position model. The record is from RNAcentral.
UACGUAGGGUGCAAGCGUUGUCCGGAAUUAUUGGGCGUAAAGAGCUCGUAGGCGGUUUGUCGCGUCUGCUGUGAAAACUCGGGGCUUAACCCUGGGCCUGCAGUGGGUACGGGCAGACUAGAGUGCGGUAGGGGAGACUGGAAUUCCUGGUGUAGCGGUGAAAUGCGCAGAUAUCGGGAGGAACACCGGUGGCGAAGGCGGGUCUCUGGGCCGUAACUGACGCUGAGGAGCGAAAGCGUGGGGAGCGAACAGG